GUGCCAGCCGCCGCGGUAAUACGUAGGGGGCAAGCGUUGUCCGGAAUUAUUGGGCGUAAAGGGCUCGUAGGCGGUUUGUCGCGUCGGGAGUGAAAACGCACAGCUUAACUGUGUGCUUGCUUUCGAUACGGGCAGACUAGAGGCAUGCAGGGGAGAACGGAAUUCCUGGUGUAGCGGUGAAAUGCGCAGAUAUCAGGAGGAACACCGGUGGCGAAGGCGGUUCUCUGGGCAUGUCCUGACGCUGAGGAGCGAAAGUGUGGGGAGCGAACAGGAUUAGAUACCCUGGUAGUCCACACCGUAAACGUUGGGCGCUAGGUGUGGGAUCCAUUCCACGGGUUCCGUGCCGCAGCUAACGCAUUAAGCGCCCCGCCUGGGGAGUACGGCCGCAAGGCUAAAACUCAAAGGAAUUGACGG
This 414-nucleotide ribosomal RNA is filed under the name uncultured bacterium. Its description in RNAcentral is "bacterial SSU rRNA". It matches the Rfam family "Bacterial small subunit ribosomal RNA", at positions 505 to 916 of the family's 1533-position model. The record is from RNAcentral.